RNAcentral lists this ribosomal RNA (496 nucleotides) under uncultured bacterium. RNAcentral's name for it is "partial 16S ribosomal RNA". It matches the Rfam family "Bacterial small subunit ribosomal RNA", at positions 29 to 523 of the family's 1533-position model. The record is from RNAcentral.
AUUGAACGCUGGCGGCAUGCCUAACACAUGCAAGUCGCACGCGAAAGGGGGCAACCCUGAGUAGAGUGGCGGACGGGUGAGUAACGCGUAGGAAUCUACCUGGUAGUGGGGGACAACCCGGUGAAAACCGGGCUAAUACCGCAUACGAUCCACGGAUGAAAGCAGGGGACCGCAAGGCCUUGCGCUAUCAGAUGAGCCUGCGUCGGAUUAGCUAGUUGGUGAGGUAAAGGCUAACCAAGGCAACGAUCCGUAGCUGGUUUGAGAGAACGACCCGCCACACUGUGACUGAGACACGGCCCAGACUCCUACGGGAGGCAGCAGUGGGGAAUAUUGGACAAUGGGGGCAACCCUGAUCCAGCAAUGCCGCGUGUGUGAAGAAGGCCUUCGGGUUGUAAAGCACUUUCGGUGGGGACAAACAAGGUGGAGCUAACAUCUCCGCCUCUGAUGGUACCCAAAGAAGAAGCACCGGCUAACUCUGUGCCAGCCGCCGCGGUAA